GGCGCUUUGUUGCCCAGGCAGGCAACAGCUGGGGGGAAACAGUCUUUUCCUGAACAUUCUCCAGGGUGGGGCCACCUCUCCAGGCAGACUCGCAUUUACUAUGCUCCCAAAUUAUAAAACAGAGAAAGCCAAGGUUUCAGGGCUGCCCUCCCCUGAUCCUCAGAAGGAAGGAACACGGGGUGGAGAAGUGUAAAUGACCUCACAGGAUAUCAGGAGAAAGCCUAAGUAAGCGGGUCCUCCAGUGAUUCAUUUGGGUGGACUACUUUCACACCAAGCUACAUUCAAGAGUUCGGAGUGGGGUCAUUUGGGGCCCCUCCCUCCCUGCCAUUUCCUCUUUUCAAAGUACUGGAAGAUUUGGAGUCAAACUCCAUCCAAACAGGAAAUCACCCAGGUUCUAGGUUAAGGGGAGUGGGAGGGGCUCUUAUUUUUUAAAGGGCAAGCUAUUUUUGUGCACCACGUGAGUAUCUUCAGAGCAAGUGCCUACUAUGUGCUGGUUGCUAUGAAUCCAGUUUAUGCCCUGCAGCGAGUAUGCUGAGAAAUGAAAUCCAAACCCCCAGACACACAUCUGGCAAAGCUUACAGAAGAAAGGCUUUUAAGGGUUUGCAUUGUCCCCCCCCAAAAAAAAAAACCCUAAAAAUGGAAAUGAAAGGCUCAAGUCCACCUCUCUUGGGCUCACCAGGAUGUGUAUGAAGAGCCCUGAGCAAGGAAAGUGGGGACAAAGAGGAGGAGCCGGAGGAGAGGAUUGAUGACAAGGUGGAAGGGCAGAGCCGGCAGCAAAGGGAUUGGGAGUUUGGCUGGCAAGCUAUGCCAGAGGCAGGUGCCAGCUAAGAGUGGGCGGAGGUGCGGGCGCCAGGCCAAUCCAGGCAGCGGGGAGGCUCCGCGUUACCUCUGCCUCUAGGAGUCUAGGCGCAAAGACAAGCUCGCCCUGAGUCGCCCCUGCUUUGUCAACUCUGCGUUCCCUCCGCUCCUGCCAGCCCGGGGCACAGGAGUCCCUGCCGCCUGCAGGAGGAGCCGCUGGAUCUGUCUCAGCAGCUGCGGAGAGACAGCAUCCUUGGAAGAGACGCCCCGGGCUACGCAGUCUCUCCAGCCUCCUCCUAGGGGGCGAGAGCUCCUUUGCGCUCCCUCCAGUGAUCGCCCUCUACACGGCCACCAGAGCCAGCACUCCUCCACGGGACCUCCCCACCUGAGCGGUCCCUGGCAGAGGGGGUCACAGGGCAAAGAGACUCAAAUAACAACCGGGUAGCCAGGGAACCCCAACCCUGCCUCUCUACUGGGCAAGAAAAGACGACGCUGUCAACACUGUGAGCUUCCUGCACGCGGUCCCCAAGUUCAGGGAAGACACCCUUCCAGGAAGAGCUAAUCCCCUGUGUGAGCAUUCCAGCCUCCUCCGGACUCCAGGAGCUUCUUCCGUCUGCACCCCAAGUGUUUCCCGGGUGUCCGCUUGGGCCAUGCCCGGGCUGCGCAGGGACCGCCUGCUGGCCCUGCUGCUCCUGGGCGCGCUCUUCUCCGCCGACCUCUACUUCCACCUCUGGCCGCAAGUGCAGCGCCAGCUCCGGCCGGGCGAGCGCCCCGCCGCCUGCCCGUGCUCUGGCCGCGCCCCCUCCGCGUCUCUACACUCAGCCGCAGCCUCCCGAGACCUUGGCACAGCCUCGCACAACUUUUCAGGAGCUUUGCCCCGGGUUGAGCAUCCCAGCCGCGGCCACCCUGCCCCGCGCUCUAAGCUGCAGGCCCUCUUCGCCCACUCGCUCUACCAAGUCCUGGAGGAUCCGCCUCUCCUGGGACCCGAAGACUGGCUCCUGGCCAGCCAGGAGGCGCUGCGGUAUUACCGGAGGAAGGUGGCCCGCUGGAACAGACGGCACAAGAUAUACAAAGAACAAUUCAACCUUACCUCCUUGGAUCCCCCGCUCCAGUUUCGACCAGAGGCCAGCUGGGUCCAGUUCCACUUGGGGAUCAACAGCCACGGGCUGUACUCCAGGUCCAGCCUUGCCAUCAGCAAGCUCCUCCAUGACAUGAGACACUUCCCCACCAUCAGUGCUGAUUACAGCCAGGAUGAAAAAGCCUUGCUAGGGGCCUGUGACUGCUCACAGAUUGUGAAACCCAGUGGGGUCCACCUGAAAUUGGUUCUGAGGUUCUCGGACUUCGGGAAAGCCAUGUUCAAACCCAUGAGACAGCAGCGAGAGGAGGAGACGCCUGAGGACUUCUUCUAUUUCAUAGACUUUCAGAGACACAAUGCUGAGAUCGCAGCUUUCCACCUGGACAGGAUUCUGGACUUCCGACGGGUACCGCCAACAGUAGGGAGGCUAGUGAAUGUCACCAAGGAAAUCCUAGAGGUCACCAAGAACGAGAUCCUACAGAGUGUGUUCUUUGUGUCUCCAGCUAACAACGUGUGCUUCUUCGCCAAGUGUCCGUACAUGUGCAAGACCGAGUACGCUGUCUGUGGCAACCCACACCUGCUGGAAGGCUCCCUCUCCGCCUUCCUGCCAUCCCUCAACCUAGCCCCCAGACUGUCUGUGCCCAACCCCUGGAUCCGUUCCUACUCGCUGUCAGGAAAAGAGGACCCCAGGACUUCUUCUCCCCCUCAGGUGGGAGCUCAACCCCCUUUACUGUGACACAGUCAAGCAGAUCUACCCGUACAACAGCAGCAACAGACUCCUCGGCAUCAUUGACAUGGCCGUCUUUGACUUCCUGAUUGGAAAUAUGGACCGACACCAUUAUGAGAUGUUCACCAAAUUUGGGGAUGAUGGAUACCUUAUUCAUCUUGACAAUGCCAGAGGGUUCGGACGACAUUCCCAGGAUGAAAUCUCUAUCCUCGCCCCUCUAGCGCAGUGUUGCAUGAUCAAAAGGAAAACACUCUUGCACCUUCAGCUGCUGGCUCAGGCUGACUACAGGCUCAGCGACGUGAUGCGGGAGUCACUUCUAGAAGACCAGCUCAGCCCUGUCCUCACAGAACCCCACCUCCUGGCCCUGGACCGCAGACUCCAGAUCAUCCUGAAGACCGUGGAGGACUGCAUAGAGGCCCACGGCGAGCGAAGAGUCAUAGCCGAAGGGUCAGCACAACGUUCGGCUCCAGACUCCGGCCAGGCUAAUCUGACGAGCUAAUGGCAACAAACGUGGGACCUCAGAACACACAACUGGAGUCAGCACCUCAUGCUGGUUUGUAGGCCCCUGUUGCCCCAUUCCAUCCUGGGGCACUGGAGGCCAAGGCACAAGCUCAGGGAGGAGGCAGGAACGCUUUGAAAAAGGCAAACGGGAUCCACUGAACCUCAUCUUUAUCCUUGGGUGGAGGUCACUGCUUUUACGGUGCACUGGCUGGGGCUCUCUCUUCCCAACGAGCUCUGGCUCCAUCAGGACUGCAGAUUAUCUUCUGAGCACACUGUGAAACCUGGAUCUGGACCAGGCUUGGAAGGUUUGGAAGCUCUGUUCCCAGGAGCGGUUUUUAUUCUACCAUAUCAAAUAAAGGGACAUCAAGCGGA
Molecule: RNA transcript, 3473 nt
Organism: Mus musculus (house mouse)
Lineage: Eukaryota; Metazoa; Chordata; Mammalia; Rodentia; Muridae
Gene: Fam20a
Gene name: FAM20A, golgi associated secretory pathway pseudokinase
Exons: 11
Source: RefSeq, marked validated